This 1369-nucleotide ribosomal RNA is filed under the name Yersinia enterocolitica. RNAcentral describes it as "partial 23S ribosomal RNA". It matches the Rfam family "Bacterial large subunit ribosomal RNA", at positions 143 to 1554 of the family's 2925-position model. The record is from RNAcentral. Lineage: Bacteria; Pseudomonadati; Pseudomonadota; Gammaproteobacteria; Enterobacterales; Yersiniaceae.
UUGCACUAUUGCAUGGUGAAUACAUAGCCAUGCAAGGCGAACCGGGGGAACUGAAACAUCUAAGUACCCCGAGGAAAAGAAAUCAACCGAGAUUCCCCCAGUAGCGGCGAGCGAACGGGGAGGAGCCCAGAACCUGAAUCAGCGUAUGUGUUAGUGGAAGCGUCUGGAAAGUCGCACGGUACAGGGUGAUAGUCCCGUACACAAAAAUGCAUAUGUUGUGAGUUCGAUGAGUAGGGCGGGACACGUGACAUCCUGUCUGAAUAUGGGGGGACCAUCCUCCAAGGCUAAAUACUCCUGACUGACCGAUAGUGAACCAGUACCGUGAGGGAAAGGCGAAAAGAACCCCGGCGAGGGGAGUGAAAUAGAACCUGAAACCGUGUACGUACAAGCAGUGGGAGCACCUUCGUGGUGUGACUGCGUACCUUUUGUAUAAUGGGUCAGCGACUUAUAUUUUGUAGCAAGGUUAACCGAAUAGGGGAGCCGUAGGGAAACCGAGUCUUAACUGGGCGAAUAGUUGCAAGGUAUAGACCCGAAACCCGGUGAUCUAGCCAUGGGCAGGUUGAAGGUUGGGUAACACUAACUGGAGGACCGAACCGACUAAUGUUGAAAAAUUAGCGGAUGACUUGUGGCUGGGGGUGAAAGGCCAAUCAAACCGGGAGAUAGCUGGUUCUCCCCGAAAGCUAUUUAGGUAGCGCCUCGUGAACUCAUCUUCGGGGGUAGAGCACUGUUUCGGCUAGGGGGUCAUCCCGACUUACCAAACCGAUGCAAACUCCGAAUACCGAAGAAUGUUAUCACGGGAGACACACGGCGGGUGCUAACGUCCGUCGUGAAGAGGGAAACAACCCAGACCGCCAGCUAAGGUCCCAAAGUCAUGGUUAAGUGGGAAACGAUGUGGGAAGGCAUAGACAGCCAGGAUGUUGGCUUAGAAGCAGCCAUCAUUUAAAGAAAGCGUAAUAGCUCACUGGUCGAGUCGGCCUGCGCGGAAGAUGUAACGGGGCUAAACCAUGCACCGAAGCUGCGGCAGCGACACUUAGGUGUUGUUGGGUAGGGGAGCGUUCUGUAAGCCGUUGAAGGUGACCUGUGAGGGUUGCUGGAGGUAUCAGAAGUGCGAAUGCUGACAUAAGUAACGAUAAUGCGGGUGAAAAACCCGCACGCCGGAAGACCAAGGGUUCCUGUCCAACGUUAAUCGGGGCAGGGUGAGUCGACCCCUAAGGCGAGGCUGAAAAGCGUAGUCGAUGGGAAACAGGUUAAUAUUCCUGUACUUGGUGUUACUGCGAAGGGGGGACGGAGAAGGCUAGGCUAGCCGGGCGACGGUUGUCCCGGUUUAAGCAUGUAGGCGGAGUGACUUGGUAAAUCCGGUUGCUUAUCA